This 264-nucleotide unclassified non-coding RNA is filed under the name Hevea brasiliensis (rubber tree). Lineage: Eukaryota; Viridiplantae; Streptophyta; Magnoliopsida; Malpighiales; Euphorbiaceae. The record is from RNAcentral.
GGAUUUUCUCCAUUUUUUGGGGUUUCAGUUGAAGAAUUCGAAGUGGGGUUUUGAGUUCUUGAAUAUAUUUUACUCAUGACAUCAACUUUGAGGAGAAGGCUUCAUCAUGGGGAUGUUGGUGGCAAAAAGAAUGAGCAUUUUGAUUCUUUAGGCUCUGAUGAUGGUUUGAAUGAGCCUUUACUUGGGUACCAGAAAUAUGAUGACAGUGAUCAGGUAUGUACGCUUGAAGAAGUGUUGGAUGAAGGGCGAAGGAGGGAACGUCUG